AAUUUCAAACCGGCCGUAAAAAGUGGGUUUAUGAAAUAACUCCUAUAAUAUUGUUGAAACACACGUCAUAUCUAUUUAAUGGGAUGCAUACGUAACAUUUUAAUAUUGUACAGAUGGAAAUCUUGAACUAUCAUAUUUAAUAAUCGAGAUAAUUAAAAGAAACUACCUAUUUUUUCAUUUGUGUCACCGGUUCUUUUCCUACUUUUUCAACAAAACUUUAAAUAUACAAAAUAUUACUCUGCGAAAUUGUAUAUUUUUUUAUUUUGGUUACACUUUAUAACCAUAACUUCAUGUUACGCUAAAUAGUUUUAAAUUAAUUUAAAAUAUAACACGAUUUCUCUGUGUUUUAUUUAACUAUAAUUUUUUUCAAUCAUUUGUGUCGACUAAACAAAAGUUCCCGUAAUAAACAAAGGCUGUGCGUUACUGCCAUCCCCACUCCUACGCCGCGUAAAGGGCCCCCAGUGGCACGCAAACGUUCGACAAGAGCAGAUGCGCGCUUUAUUAUCCUGGUUUAAAAUGGCGAAAGAAAAAUCUAAGAAAAAUGAAGAGGAAUUAGAAAGGAGACGGAUUGGAAGAAGGGAAAAAUAUAAACGAAUAAAAAACGAUCCCGAAAAAUAUACCAUUGAAAGGGCCAAAAAAAAGGAAGCUUACUUAAAGAGGAAAAAUCGAUAAAGAAAGAAAAUGUAAAAAGACUUGCAGAUGUUAAAUUUGACUGGACAAAUCAGAAAUUUAUAAAAACCCAACAGAAGGUAUCCGGUGGGCAUGAAGAGGCUUUCCUCCGCUUUAUUAAUGAAGGGUCUUUUGAGAAUAUUACAGAAAAAGAAUAGAAAUGAAAAAAGAGAAGAAAAAGUGAUUAAAACUUUAACCAUGAUCAAGACUGAUUAUUAAAUUAAGUUAUAUAGCAAAAUAAUCCAAGAAUUCAUUAACAAUAAGAUUGAAUAAGAAACCAAAAACUAUAGCCCGACCGCUUGUCUGAGACCGUCCCUGAGGUAGCUGCGCAGUGCGGGACGUAACGUGAGAGCUCACUGAUACGUCAACUUGUGACAACAGUCGGCCCUCCCGCACCGCGCAGCUGCCUCAGGAAUGCUCUCAGUUAAGCGGUGGUACAGAUUUAACAUUAGGAGAUAGCCUAUCAAAAAUGACUGAUUUAUUAAGGAAAAGUAGUUAGAUAGAAACAAUAUACGAGAAAUUUAUUAUUUUAUAUGAAAAAAAAGUUUGUUACUAAUAAUUCGUUGAUCACAAAAAAAAAUUGUUACAUUAAUCGUGUUUUACUUGAUAUUUGUUUUGUAUUUUAUAUUGUCAAACUUUGAUUAAAUGCUUAAUAAAAGUACA
This is a long non-coding RNA of Spodoptera frugiperda (fall armyworm), 1332 nucleotides long. RefSeq lists it as uncharacterized. NCBI's taxonomy places the organism in Eukaryota, Metazoa, Arthropoda, Insecta, Lepidoptera, Noctuidae. The transcript has 2 exons. The record is from RefSeq and is a predicted model, not a curated record.